AAUUAAUGAACUUGUUACAAGUGUAUAUUUUGAAAAUAUAAAAAAGGGUUAUACUCCCUAUUAAUUU
RNAcentral lists this transfer RNA (67 nucleotides) under Platydracus impotens. Its description in RNAcentral is "tRNA-Ser". The record is from RNAcentral. Lineage: Eukaryota; Metazoa; Arthropoda; Insecta; Coleoptera; Staphylinidae.